AUUGAACGCUGGCGGCAUGCCUUACACAUGCAAGUCGAACGGCAGCAUGGAAGAGCUUGCUCUUCUGAUGGCGAGUGGCGAACGGGUGAGUAAAGCAUCGGAACGUACCGUGUAGUGGGGGAUAACGUAGCGAAAGUUACGCUAAUACCGCAUACGCACUGAGGUGGAAAGCAGGGGAUCGCAAGACCUUGCGCUAUACGAGCGGCCGAUGUCAGAUUAGCUAGUUGGUAGGGUAAAGGCCUACCAAGGCGACGAUCUGUAGCGGGUCUGAGAGGAUGAUCCGCCACACUGGGACUGGGACACGGCCCGGACUCCUACGGGAGGCAGCAGUGGGGAAUUUUGGACAAUGGGGGAAACCCUGAUCCAGCCAUGCCGCGUGGGUGAAGAAGGCCUUCGGGUUGUAAAGCUCUUUCGGCUGGGAAGAAAUCGCACAGGCUAAUACUCUGUGUGGAUGACGGUACCAGCACAAGAAGCACCGGCUAACUACGUGCCAGCCGCCGCGGUAA
RNAcentral lists this ribosomal RNA (506 nucleotides) under uncultured bacterium. RNAcentral describes it as "partial 16S ribosomal RNA". It matches the Rfam family "Bacterial small subunit ribosomal RNA", at positions 30 to 523 of the family's 1533-position model. The record is from RNAcentral.